Molecule: ribosomal RNA, 724 nt
Filed under: uncultured bacterium
Lineage: Bacteria
Description: bacterial SSU rRNA
Rfam family: Bacterial small subunit ribosomal RNA
Source: RNAcentral
UGCAGUCGAGGGGCAGCAUCAUCAAAGCUUGCUUUGAUGGAUGGCGACCGGCGCACGGGUGAGUAACACGUAUCCAACCUGCCGACAACACUGGGAUAGCCUUUCGAAAGAAAGAUUAAUACCGGAUGGCAUAGUUUUCCCGCAUGGGAUAAUUAUUAAAGAAUUUCGGUUGUCGAUGGGGAUGCGUUCCAUUAGGCAGUUGGCGGGGUAACGGCCCACCAAACCAACGAUGGAUAGGGGUUCUGAGAGGAAGGUCCCCCACAUUGGAACUGAGACACGGUCCAAACUCCUACGGGAGGCAGCAGUGAGGAAUAUUGGUCAAUGGACGAGAGUCUGAACCAGCCAAGUAGCGUGAAGGAUGACUGCCCUAUGGGUUGUAAACUUCUUUUAUACGGGAAUAAAGUGAGCCACGUGUGGCUUUUUGUAUGUACCGUAUGAAUAAGGAUCGGCUAACUCCGUGCCAGCAGCCGCGGUAAUACGGAGGAUCCGAGCGUUAUCCGGAUUUAUUGGGUUUAAAGGGAGCGUAGGCGGGUUGUUAAGUCAGUUGUGAAAGUUUGCGGCUCAACCGUAAAAUUGCAGUUGAUACUGGCGACCUUGAGUGCAACAGAGGUAGGCGGAAUUCGUGGUGUAGCGGUGAAAUGCUUAGAUAUCACGAAGAACUCCGAUUGCGAAGGCAGCUUACUGGAUUGUAACUGACGCUGAUGCUCGAAAGUGUGGGUAUCAA